GUUCGCAUCUCACAACUGCACCCUAUGUUGUUUUGCCAGUGAUUAACCAUCAUCAUUAUAGCAAUCUUCUCAUCAUAUCACUUGAGCCUAUCAAGUGGCAGAAUUUUGUGUUGCUGGACAAGUGCAUAGGAAGCUGAACCUGGAGUAAGGUCACCAAGGAUACAAAGUUGUUGAUUGGAACACCUGAUGCCAUUCUUAUUCCCUUGUCCCUCUCAUUAUCUCAAUUUGCCAAACGACGCCUAUCUUCCCUUCGUCGGUCACCCCUUCUUCGCCUCGCCCAGCACGUUACCCCGUCUUCGUCUCGCCCAGCACGUUACCCCGUCUUCGUCUCGCCCGUCGUCGCCUUGCCCGUCUUCGCCUCGCCCGUCUUCGCCUCGCCCGUCUUCGCCUCGCCCGUGUUCGCCUUGCCCGUCUUCCCCUCGCCCGUGUUCGCCUCGCCGUCUUCGUUUCGCCCGUCACCGCUUCGCCCGUCACGUCGUCUUCGCCUCGCCUUUAUGGUAUACUUGUAUUUUGUAAUGUCGUAUUAAUUAACCCGUUGGCUGCCACCCACUUUGGUCCCCUUUUUUUUUUAGCUUGACAGGGACGGGCCGCGCUGUUCUGUCCCAUGGUCUUUCUGCCAUGGGAUGGGACAGUUGCCACUGCCCAAAAUUUGCCUGCGGGCAGGUAGGCAAUGCACCAUAGGGAAUUCCCUUGAUCGACGCGCUUGAUGAGACCUGGAUGUGCAUUUCCGUAAAGGUCUCAUCAUCGUGUCAGCCCGGACUUGUCCAUGGGCAAGUCCCCCUUGGUCGCUAUCCCUUUGAUAGCGAAGUAGCGAACGUAGUGUGUAGUGGCGUGGCAGC
Daphnia carinata is the source of this 839-nucleotide long non-coding RNA. RefSeq lists it as uncharacterized. The record is from RefSeq and is a predicted model, not a curated record. Lineage: Eukaryota; Metazoa; Arthropoda; Branchiopoda; Diplostraca; Daphniidae. The transcript is spliced from 3 exons.